GUUUAAGUUUUUGAAACUGAAGUAGGUCUACACAGUAGGAACUCAUGUCAUUUCUUGUAAGUAAACCAGAGCGAAUCAGGCGGUGGGUCUCGGAAAAGUUCAUUGUUGAGGGCUUAAGAGAUUUGGAACUAUUUGGAGAGCAGCCUCCGGGUGACACUCGGAGAAAAACCAAUGAUGCGAGCUCAGAGUCAAUAGCAUCCUUCUCUAAACAGGAGGUCAUGAGUAGCUUUCUGCCAGAGGGAGGGUGUUACGAGCUGCUCACUGUGAUAGGCAAAGGAUUUGAGGACCUGAUGACUGUGAAUCUAGCAAGGUACAAACCAACAGGAGAGUACGUGACUGUACGGAGGAUUAACCUAGAAGCUUGUUCCAAUGAGAUGGUAACAUUCUUGCAGAGUUUCACCAUCUUGCCCAGGCUGGUCUCAAACUCCUGAGCUCGAGCAAUCAACUCACCUCAGCCUCCCAAAAUGCUAGGAUUACAGGGCGAGCUGCAUGUCUCCAAACUCUUCAACCAUCCCAAUAUCAUGCCAUAUCGAGCCACUUUUAUUGCAGACAAUGAGCUGUGGGUUGUCACAUCAUUCAUGGCAUACG
Molecule: small RNA, 588 nt
Filed under: Pan troglodytes (chimpanzee)
Lineage: Eukaryota; Metazoa; Chordata; Mammalia; Primates; Hominidae
Description: processed transcript
Source: RNAcentral